This is a long non-coding RNA of Silurus meridionalis, 1096 nucleotides long. RefSeq lists it as uncharacterized. The transcript is spliced from 4 exons. NCBI's taxonomy places the organism in Eukaryota, Metazoa, Chordata, Actinopteri, Siluriformes, Siluridae. The record is from RefSeq and is a predicted model, not a curated record.
CACACACACACACACACACACACACACACACACACACACACACUCGGAUGCGAACAACAUGGAUGCUGAGCCGGAGAGGGUGGAGUGUACCGGGAUGCACGGGAAAACGCCGGCCGGGCCACGUUUUCACGCAUCACACGUAGAAAUGUGUACACGUGUUUCCCCAACCGAGCUGUGAAUCGGUUCCCAAAACGAUUCGAUUCUCCGUUUCAACUGAAUUGGAACUCCGGAAGAGUCGACUCCAUACACUCGAUUAAAUUUUUUUUAUUUUUUUUAUAAUUAUUAAAAUUUGCACUAAAAUACAAGGCAAAAUAUACAAAAGAUUGGCUUACUUCAUAAUAAAUAUAUUACUGCUAUAAUUAGGAGACAAUAGAUCAUGAUUUAUGCAGGGUGUAUGAGUCGAGAUUUUUUAUUUUUCACAAUAUUUUAUUUUUGCACAUUUUUUUUUAGAUAUUAGGAUUAAUAAAACAUCGAGUAGAUGAAUGAAAUUGAGAUACUGUCGAGAAAUUGGACCAAACAAUACAUUUAGAUUCGGAGUCGAUUCCGAGAGAUGUUGAGUCAAAUAGUGCUGCUGAUUAUGCACCACAAAUAGACCGGAUGGAAGCCCUAUUUCCGGAAUCGACCUUUGGAAUUUGUGCACUUCCGUAAUUUGACCAGGAAACAUUCUUCACCAACUGCUUUUGGAGACAUUUUGACAAACACCGUUGCUUUCAGAGACAGGUUGACCAACCCAAUUUUACCCAAACCCAUGCUGACUGGUCUGCCUGCUCCUGCAAAAAGUUUGAUCAACCCCCAGAUUUCUGCAGAAAGAUUGACCAAUCCUGCCUGCUCCCACAGCAUAACUGAUCAAUCAUGCACCUACACCUUUGACCAGAGAGGAUCAGGAAGCCAUCGAUAUACUGAUGCGGCGGCAGACCUCAGAGACGACACGUGUUUUUGGGAGUCAUAAAGAAAUCGGGAGACAGGACACAAAUAAACAAUGCAGGAUUGCGAGAAAAAAUGUUAAUAAAAAUGGCCCACGGGUGUAAUAUUUAAAAUACUGUAAACAUGUGGACUUGUUUACAAAGGAAUAAAAAGUAAUGCUUCUAAUAUAAAA